AUGUCAGAUCCUUCUCAAGGAUUGGGUGACAAAGGAAAUGAUGUACAAGCUGAGGUCAAUGACAAUGAGAAAACAAAGAGAGGGAUAAGGAAAAAGGCAAUAGUUGAUGUUGGUAAUAAGGUUAAGGUGAGGAAAACUAGAGUUAAGCGUGCACCAUGUUGGCAACAUUUCAAGGAGGUCAAAGCUGUAUGCAAGAAGAAACCAGGGGCGGUCGUCACGAAGGCAAAAUGCUUGCAUUGUUGUAACUUGUUUGCUUAUACUCCAGGGGGAGCAACUACUAGUCUUAAUCGGCAUGUAGAUGUUUGUGCGGACUAUCUAAACAAGAAGGGAAGACAACAACAACAAUGUACAAUCAAUUUGGAUCCUGAAAAGCCAGGUGCAUCUCUUAUAGUGAAUCAUGAAUAUGAUCAUGCACAAGUCGUUAAAAUCAUAGCAAAGAUGAUAAUUGUGCAUGAAUAUCCUUUUAGGAUGGUAGAGCAUGCUUGGUUUAAUAUCAUCAUGAGAUAUAUGAAUGCAUCAUACAAGUUCAUUGGUAGGAAGAAAAUUAGAGCCGAAUGCAUGAAGGUGUAUCUUUCUGAGAAAGAUAUCCUUAAGAAGCAACUAAGGUCUGUUGAGAGCAUUAGUUUGACAAGUGAUAUAUGGACUUCCAACCAGAAUCUUUCCUACCUAGCUGUUGUUGCUCACUACAUAGAUGAGUAUUGGGUUAUGCAAUGUCGUGUUUUAAACUUGAUAGACUUAGACCCACCUCACACAGGCUUUGUCAUAGCUCAAGCUAUUUUUGAAUGCUGCCAAGAAUGGAAAAUAGAAGAUAAGAUCAUGACAAUGACCAUGGAUAAUGCUGCCUCGAAUGAUUCUGCUGCUAAGAAAUUGAUGGACAAGUUCACUGCUAGGAAAUCAGCAAAAUUCAUAUCUAAGUACUUCCAUGUUCGAUGCUGCGCACACAUAGUGAAUUUGAUAGUCAAUGAUGGCAUGGAACCAUUGCAGCCUUUGAUAGGCAACCUCAGAGAAACUGUCAAGUACUUGAAAAAAUCUCCAUCACGCAUGUCGAACUUCUUGUCAGAUUGCAAGUCUCUUAAUAUUAAAGUUGGAAAAGGAUUAUGCCUAGAUGUAGCAACUAGAUGGAGUUCUACAUACAGAAUGAUAGAUGCUUGA
This 1152-nucleotide ribosomal RNA is filed under the name Triticum aestivum (bread wheat). RNAcentral describes it as "partial small subunit ribosomal RNA". Lineage: Eukaryota; Viridiplantae; Streptophyta; Magnoliopsida; Poales; Poaceae. The record is from RNAcentral.